This 603-nucleotide ribosomal RNA is filed under the name uncultured Ascobolus. RNAcentral's name for it is "eukaryotic LSU rRNA". The stretch from base 241 to 394 matches the Rfam family "5.8S ribosomal RNA". The record is from RNAcentral. Lineage: Eukaryota; Fungi; Ascomycota; Pezizomycetes; Pezizales; Ascobolaceae.
GUAAAAGUCGUAACAAGGUUUCCGUAGGUGAACCUGCGGAAGGAUCAUUAAUAAAUGUACGCCUAGAGAAAGUCUUAAACUACUUGAUCUAGUGCUGUAUAUAACCACCUGUUUACCUUUACCUGUUGCUUCCGUGGAAUUACGGGUGCUCUUUCUGUUCGCAGACUUGAGUUACCUUCCACGGGUGUAUUUAAAAAAUUGUCUUGCUGAAUUGUCUGAUAUAAAAUUUUAAUAAGUUAAAACUUUCAACAACGGAUCUCUAGGUUCUCGCAUCGAUGAAGAACGCAGCGAAAUGCGAUAAGUAGUGUGAAUUGCAGAUUUCAGUGAAUCAUCGAAUCUUUGAACGCACAUUGCGCCCUUUGGUAUUCCGAAGGGCAUGCCUGUCUGAGCGUCAAUAAAUCAAUCAAACCUUGGUUUGGUAUUGGGAGAAGUGGCUCUGCCUCUCUCCUUUAAGCUAUUGGCGACACUAUUUCAGCUUGUAAGACGUAGUAAGUAAUAUUCUCGUUAAAGCAACUGUGUAGUCGUCUGCCAACUGAACGAUUUAUUUUAAAGCUUGACCUCAGAUCAGGUAGGGAUACCCCCUGAACUUAAGCAUAUCAAUAA